Molecule: ribosomal RNA, 241 nt
Filed under: Clostridium botulinum
Lineage: Bacteria; Bacillati; Bacillota; Clostridia; Eubacteriales; Clostridiaceae
Description: partial 23S ribosomal RNA
Rfam family: Bacterial large subunit ribosomal RNA
Source: RNAcentral
CUAUGUAGCAAGGUUAAGUACUUAAGGUAUGGAGCCGAAGGGAAACCGAGUCUGAAAAGGGCGAAAAGUUGCAUGGUGUAGACCCGAAACCGGGUGACCUAUCCAUGGCCAGGUUGAAGCGAGAGUAAAAUCUCGUGGAGGACCGAACCACGUUGGUGUUGAAAAACCAUGGGAUGAGCUGUGGAUAGCGGAGAAAUUCCAAUCGAACUCGGAGAUAGCUGGUUCUCCUCGAAAUAGCUUU